GGCUAGCAGUCAGGUUUCUAGCUGGAACAUAAAACAGGAAACGCAGCAGCAGGCUGAAGUAGAGCAGGAUGGAACAGCUGCGCCUUCACGGCUUCAGGAUAAGAAGCCACCAUCAGUCCUACCUAAAACCUACAAGAUAAUCAAAUUAGUUGGGCAACCCCUACCUGGCAUGGCGCAUUCCAACUCUCUGCCCGAGUCUUUUGGACGGAAUGGAGAAGAAGCAGUCACUGUGCAGAGGAAUAGAGGCAUAGAGGAUGACAUCCAGUCCUUGACGGUGCAGUGUACAAAUCAAAAUUUGGUGGAAUCCAAAUUUGGUGCUCAGGAGAAACCACAUACUACAAGUCAAGUGCUGUUGACUCAGCAGUCUUUGCCUGGAAAUCUUCAACAGUUUAGGAGGUCUAAAGCAUUUAGUGAAAGCAGUUUUUCAACUCUGAAACAGACCUUCAGUCAGGAUCACCAGGACUCAC
Molecule: long non-coding RNA, 467 nt
Organism: Ictalurus punctatus (channel catfish)
Lineage: Eukaryota; Metazoa; Chordata; Actinopteri; Siluriformes; Ictaluridae
Source: Ensembl